AGCAGGGUAAAGGCCUUCCUAUUGGAUUACCACAUUCAGUUCCCAGGGACUAGACACGCUGUGCCAUGUAACGUAUUUUACAUUGCUAGGGAGUUAUUGGAGCCUGAGGAUAGCAGCAUUUUUCUGCCUUCUGACUAUUGUGCUGACAGAUAGUUUUUGCUAUUACAUUUAUUUGGAAAGGAAAAUAAGCAAAUGCAAACAUUCAGAGUUGUUUUCCUCCUUCAGAUUUAAAAACAGAAUUUUUCCCUCAUAUUGUUCUACACUGAAAUGUGACAUAGUAAAGCUGUCUAGAGCCACAGUCUGUCCUGUCUUGAGAAAAAAAUAACAUCACCUCCGAGUGAAGCAAAUAAAAACUGGACUCCUUCCACUGGAUGGGAACCAAAGAGCUGCAGUAAUGAUCCCCAUGUUUCCUCUGCCAGACGAGGCAGGUAGGAGAGCGAGUCGCUGUUUGUGUGAGCAUCACAACCCGUUUUGUUCUUUUCAGAUUUUCAGUUCCAGGAUUUUCUGACAGCUUCUAUUGCCAUACGGCCCUGCGUGGGACAGGACAGUGUCGCAUGUGAGGAAAGGCAGACAGACAACAGAGGGAACCAGGCAGCUGAGCGAUAUACGUGUUUUAAAUGCAACAUACUGAAGCACCAUGUGGACAACUUGUGAAAGCCGACUAAGGAUCAGAUCAUGGCAGAAGACACCAAAACCAAUUUGUGGACUGUUCCACUAAGCAGCCUUUCUAUUUCGUGUUAAAGACGGGCAUAAAUGUAAUAUGGACUUCAAAAAACUUUUGUGUUUAAUAUUAGAGGUACCAAAAUAAGGGUCAAUGUAAAGAAGUACCGUAGCAACCACACCAUGUGAACAGAGAAGGCCGUUUCAGAAGUACUGUACCCACUACCUAUUUGUCUAUGACUGCUUACACACACUGACCAACACUCUCCCCCUCCUCUUUGUUUUUGGUUUAUCGUUCCUUAAACAAACCAAUAUACUCAGGCAGAGAACAAAGCAACAGUGACUGUCCCCAGAAGAACUAUGAAAGCAGAUGAAUGUGUUCAUGCAUCCACAGCUGUGGGACACGACGACACGGCCUUUAACUGGUUAGAAACAAUGCUGCAAUGCAAAGACUGCAGUGCAGUACGACGGUGUCACAACGGAACAAUGCCAGCUGUUAGAAACCAAGUACAGUGAGUGGGCCUGGCCUAGCCAUCUAUGUUAACUUUGGAUCCAGUUUCUGAUCUGGCCAUCCUGGAAGGACUUUGUUAUGGGGUAAGAGCAAAUUGCAAGUGGCAGUGUGGGCUGUGAAGGAAAGCAAUACAUCCACAGAUUUACAAAUCUUAACAGACAAAUACUGAUAUAAAAAUGAUAACCUUACAAAAAAACAAAAAAACAAAAAAACAAAAAAACAAAAAAAAAACCCCAAAAACCCAUAAUUUGCAUACAAGGCUGAUAAAUAUUCUGAAACGUUACAAUAAAUAGCACACAGUUGUAAAAACAGUAAAUGGUUGUAUUUCUCACACCGCAGUACAGCAAUAGAAAAUACUAACUUCUUAAAUCACAACCUGCUAUGUGCCACAGCAGGAAACAGAAGUGGCCAGCUAACCUGCCUGUUAGAUACACACUGAGAAAGUAGUUACAUUAUAGACAAUCGAGGAAAGAGCACCUAUUGUACAGAUGAUAUAUAUUUCUCAUAUAAGUAAUCUUAAUAAGUAGUAACUCUGAGUUUUAGCACCUAUCAGUUAAUAGCAUUACUAUUGUGUUAAGAUAUACUUUUCUCUCAAAACUGCCGUCUUAAAUAAGGUAGACCUGAACUUGCUGAAAUUCUGCUGGUGCCGUCACUUGAGCAGUGGCUUGCCACGAGCUAUGUUUGGAGGUAUCCUUUCAGAUCUACCUUUCACUUCUUUCUCACUUCUUUGAGGGAAGCUGCUGGUUUUUGAAUGGAACAUUUUCAUCCUUAAGUUUCUAAUAAUACCUAAGUUAAACCUGGACAUUUAUA
Gallus gallus (chicken) is the source of this 1981-nucleotide long non-coding RNA. The record is from Ensembl. Lineage: Eukaryota; Metazoa; Chordata; Aves; Galliformes; Phasianidae.